GACGAACGCUGGCGGCGUGCUUAACACAUGCAAGUCGAACGGAAAGGCCCUGCUUUUGUGGGGUGCUCGAGUGGCGCACGGGUGAGUAACACGUGAGUAACCUGCCCUUGACUUUGGGAUAACUUCAGGAAACUGGGGCUAAUACCGGAUAGGAUCUCCUGCUGCAUGGUGGUGGUUGGAAAGUUUCGGCGGUUGGGGAUGGACUCGCGGCUUAUCAGCUUGUUGGUGGGGUAGUGGCUUACCAAGGCUUUGACGGGUAGCCGGCCUGAGAGGGUGACCGGCCACAUUGGGACUGAGAUACGGACCAGACUCCUACGGGAGGCAGCAGUGGGGAAUAUUGCACAAUGGGCGGAAGCCUGAUGCAGCAACGCCGCGUGCGGGAUGACGGCCUUCGGGUUGUAAACAGCUUUCGACUGUGACGAAGCGUGAGUGACGGUAAUGGGUAAAGAAGCACCGGCUAACUACGUG
Molecule: ribosomal RNA, 468 nt
Filed under: uncultured bacterium
Lineage: Bacteria
Description: partial 16S ribosomal RNA
Rfam family: Bacterial small subunit ribosomal RNA
Source: RNAcentral